RNAcentral lists this ribosomal RNA (484 nucleotides) under uncultured bacterium. RNAcentral describes it as "partial 16S ribosomal RNA". It matches the Rfam family "Bacterial small subunit ribosomal RNA", at positions 30 to 507 of the family's 1533-position model. The record is from RNAcentral.
AUUGAACGCUGGCGGCAGGCCUAACACCUGCAAGUCGAGCGGAUGAAGGGAGCUUGCUCCUGGAUUCAGCGGCGGACGGGUGAGUAAUGCCUAGGAAUCUGCCUGGUAGUGGGGGAUAACGUCCGGAAACGGGCGCUAAUACCGCAUACGUCCUGAGGGAGAAAGUGGGGGAUCUUCGGACCUCACGCUAUCAGAUGAGCCUAGGUCGGAUUAGCUAGUUGGUGGGGUAAAGGCCUACCAAGGCGACGAUCCGUAACUGGUCUGAGAGGAUGAUCAGUCACACUGGAACUGAGUCACGGUCCAGACUCCUACGGGAGGCAGCAGUGGGGAAUAUUGGACAAUGGGCGAAAGCCUGAUCCAGCCAUGCCGCGUGUGUGAAGAAGGUCUUCGGAUUGUAAAGCACUUUAAGUUGGGAGGAAGGGCAGUAAGUUAAUACCUUGCUGUUUUGACGUUACCAACAGAAUAAGCACCGGCUAACUUCGUG